AGCGAACGCUGGCGGCAGGCUUAACACAUGCAAGUCGAGCGGGCGUAGCAAUACGUCAGCGGCAGACGGGUGAGUAACGCGUGGGAACAUACCUUUUGGUUCGGAACAACCCAGGGAAACUUGGGCUAAUACCGGAUAAGCCCUUACGGGGAAAGAUUUAUCGCCGAAAGAUUGGCCCGCGUCUGAUUAGCUAGUUGGUGAGGUAACGGCUCACCAAGGCGACGAUCAGUAGCUGGUCUGAGAGGAUGAUCAGCCACAUUGGGACUGAGACACGGCCCAAACUCCUACGGGAGGCAGCAGUGGGGAAUAUUGGACAAUGGGCGCAAGCCUGAUCCAGCCAUGCCGCGUGAGUGAUGAAGGCCCUAGGGUUGUAAAGCUCUUUUGUGCGGGAAGAUAAUGACGGUACCGCAAGAAUAAGCCCCGGCUAACUUCGUGCCAGCAGCCGCGGUAAUACGAAGGGGGCUAGCGUUGCUCGGAAUCACUGGGCGUAAAGGGUGCGUAGGCGGGUCUUUAAGUCAGGGGUGAAAUCCUGGAGCUCAACUCCAGAACUGCCUUUGAUACUGAGG
This 566-nucleotide ribosomal RNA is filed under the name uncultured bacterium. RNAcentral describes it as "bacterial SSU rRNA". It matches the Rfam family "Bacterial small subunit ribosomal RNA", at positions 28 to 638 of the family's 1533-position model. The record is from RNAcentral.